RNAcentral lists this ribosomal RNA (323 nucleotides) under uncultured Bacillota bacterium. Its description in RNAcentral is "bacterial SSU rRNA". It matches the Rfam family "Bacterial small subunit ribosomal RNA", at positions 28 to 351 of the family's 1533-position model. The record is from RNAcentral. Lineage: Bacteria; Bacillati; Bacillota.
GACGAACGCUGGCGGCGUGCCUAACACAUGCAAGUCGAACGGAGAUAUUAGCAAUAGUAUCUUAGUGGCGGACGGGUGAGUAACGCGUGGGCAACCUACCUAUUUCUGGGGGAUAACACAGGGAAACUUGUGCUAAUACCGCAUAACAUCACGAGAUGACAUCUUCUUGUGAUCAAAGGAGUAAUCCGGUGAUAGAUGGGGCCCGCGUCCGAUUAGCUAGUUGGUGAGGUAAUGGCCCACCAAGGCGACGAUCGGUAGCCGAACUGAGAGGUUGAUCGGCCACAUUGGGACUGAGACACGGCCCAGACUCCUACGGGAGGCUG